UGUUUGAUGUUCUAACGUGGACCCGUGAUCCGGGUUGCGGACAGUGUCUGGUGGGUAGUUUGACUGGGGCGGUCUCCUCCUAAAGAGUAACGGAGGAGCACGAAGGUUGGCUAAUCCUGGUCGGACAUCAGGAGGUUAGUGCAAUGGCAUAAGCCAGCUUGACUGCGAGCGUGACGGCGCGAGCAGGUGCGAAAGCAGGUCAUAGUGAUCCGGUGGUUCUGAAUGGAAGGGCCAUCGCUCAACGGAUAAAAGGUACUCCGGGGAUAACAGGCUGAUACCGCCCAAGAGUUCAUAUCGACGGCGGUGUUUGGCACCUCGAUGUCGGCUCAUCACAUCCUGGGGCUGAAGUAGGUCCCAAGGGUAUGGCUGUUCGCCAUUUAAAGUGGUACGCGAGCUGGGUUUAGAACGUCGUGAGACAGUUCGGUCCCUAUCUGCCGUGGGCGCUGGAGAACUGAGGGGGGCUGCUCCUAGUACGAGAGGACCGGAGUGGACGCAUCACUGGUGUUCGGGUUGUCAUGCCAAUGGCACUGCCCGGUAGCUAAAUGCGGAAGAGAUAAGUGCUGAAAGCAUCUAAGCACGAAACUUGCCCCGAGAUGAGUUCUCCCUGACCCUUUAAGGGUCCUGAAGGAACGUUGAAGACGACGACGUUGAUAGGCCGGGUGUGUAAGCGCAGCGAUGCGUUGAGCUAA
Molecule: ribosomal RNA, 689 nt
Filed under: Shigella sonnei
Lineage: Bacteria; Pseudomonadati; Pseudomonadota; Gammaproteobacteria; Enterobacterales; Enterobacteriaceae
Description: partial 23S ribosomal RNA
Rfam family: Bacterial large subunit ribosomal RNA
Source: RNAcentral